CAAACAAUCAUAAAACUCAAGUCUCACUCAUUCAAACUUACUCAAACAUGCAAAAUUUAUACAACAAGGCAGAUCCGUCACACUAUCUUCACGUUCAUAUGAACUAAGCACUUUGCAUAGCAACCUUUUAUUACACAAGCUCGAAAUAUAUUCAUGAUGAUUGAAUCUCACUUCAUCCACAUACUGAUCGACGUAACAAUUAUCAUUAGCAAAAUUUUCCUUGCCAUCAUUAAAAUCGACCACAUCAAGGUAUAGUUCUUUUCCAUAACCCACGUCAUAAGCAAUGUCUUUACUAUGAAUCGAAUAGGGUUGUUUAAAGGAUAUAGAAACCUCACCUUGCUUACCUUUAGGCAU
Molecule: long non-coding RNA, 354 nt
Filed under: Gossypium raimondii (Peruvian cotton)
Lineage: Eukaryota; Viridiplantae; Streptophyta; Magnoliopsida; Malvales; Malvaceae
Description: long non-coding RNA (GRAI_LNC003776)
Source: RNAcentral